Long non-coding RNA from Bos taurus (domestic cattle), 1023 nucleotides. The record is from Ensembl. Lineage: Eukaryota; Metazoa; Chordata; Mammalia; Artiodactyla; Bovidae.
GGCCAGGGCUAAGGAGGGGCGGGGGCCAGUUUGGGAGCGGGCGGGGCGGGGACGGGCUGAGGAGGGGCGGGCCAGUAGGGAGUAGGCGGGGCUUGGGUGGGGCGGGCUGAGGCGGAACGGGGGCGUGACCAGGGCGGCCCCCAGUGGGCGUGGCGGGCUGAGGGGCGGGGCUAACUUGGCGUGGGCGUGACCUGGGCGGGGACGUGGGCGUGGCGGGCCCGGAUGGGCGGGGUAUGGGCGGGGCGGGCAGGUGUGGCCGGCGCAGGCGCUAACCGGCUCUUGCGGAAAGCGGUGUAGAAGCGGCGAGUAGAAACUGAGGAACUGUAAGAUGGACACCCUGCGGGUGAAAGCGCCCUCGGACUCGACCUGGGCGUCCCUCUAGGGCACAGCGAGUGCCUGCGUCAGACACCUCCCCGGCGCAGGGAGUGAGGAAAGGGCCUGCCCCCGGGCGUUCAAAGAGAUCCGUUCAGGAAAGAAGGGAGGGCGCGUUUCCGAAGCUCCGACUUCAGGACCUUCUGGAAGCGCUCCGCGGGUAGAGGAGGAGCCAGGCAAGUGCCGGAAACGGAAGCGGGUCACAGAAGAGGGGGCGCCCCGCCCCCCGCCGAGGCCCCGCCUGCCGGGAGCAGGAGCUCCGCCCGUGGCAAAGGUCAUGAGGAAGGAGGCUGGGCAUACGCAAAGGAACGCAGCUUUGUCCAAUGCUUUUUGGAGGCUGGCGCCUGACUUUAGAAUAAUCACCUUUAGAGAAAAAUAAGUUUCUUAAAAUGUUAACAGGCCUCCUGGCCAGAAGAUGAUGUAAUUCACCUGAACUCUUGCAUGUGAUAAGUUUGAAAGCCUGGCUUUGAUUAGGAUCAGGAACUGCUGUCCUUGCAUGACACCAUCCCUUCCCCUAUUAUCCUCUAUGCACAACUUAAGGUAUAAAAACUACUUUGGAAAAUAAAGUGCGGGCCUUGUUCACCGAAACUUGGUCUCCCCAUGUCGCUCUCUCUCUCAAAUUCUGGCUGAGUCUCCAUCUGGAGCGCGGAA